GCGCCUGUAGCUCAGUGGA
Molecule: non-coding RNA, 19 nt
Filed under: Arabidopsis thaliana (thale cress)
Lineage: Eukaryota; Viridiplantae; Streptophyta; Magnoliopsida; Brassicales; Brassicaceae
Source: RNAcentral